CCCGGAGCCCCUGCGAUGGGAAGACCUCAGACGGCUUUUGUGACCUGGGAGGGAGUGUAGCCGGAGUUGCGGCCCUGAGAGGCGGUGAGGCUGUGCAGUCCGGGUUCUGCUGAGCUUUCUCCCCACUUCCUUUUCGCUGCCCAGUUUUCCUGUCCUUGAUGUCCCGGGCCUGGCGUGUCUUGGACGGAAACUCGGCAUCUUCUGUUUACUGCUGGCAUCCACGAAACAGUAACAGGCCCCAGACUCUUCACAGAUCCUGAAACCACUCACCUGCCUAAGACUGACAACGUUGGCACAAUUUCAACCUCCCUGUGCCUUUCUUCCCGGGGAAGGAAGCUGAGAGGGGAUGAAUCAAGUAACAUAAUAAACUUCUGAGAAGCAAUAUGUUUGGGUCUCCAUCUUUCUUUCAAAAAAGAAGCUUCAUAUCAAGACUUGGAAAGAAGUGCAAAUCUCUUAGUGAAGAAACUGCCAAGAAAAUUACUGCUCACCUAGCUCAAAGAGAAACAUUAAUUAAAGGUAAGACAUGGGCAAGAAGUAAAAUGGAGCUUGUAUGAGUUAAUUCUAUCAUAAUUAACAUUUAUAAUUCCUCUCAAUUUCAGAGGAUGACUGUGUUUUUGCAGAAACCCUUGAAUUAUUUAAUGUAUUUCUAAAGAAAACUUUCGAAAUCCCUGGAGAUGAAUUUUUACCUUUCUAUAAAGACUCUUUCCACCCCCAUUCAGAGUCUCCGUACAAGUUUAUAUGAUAGAACUUUGGUCUAAGAAAAUGGGAAUGGAUUUAGGUAAACCUGAGAUUAUUCUACUUAUUUAUAAUGACAUCAGUGGGCAGGGGGGAUGGUCUCUGUUAUGGAAAAAUAUUCUAUAUGUGUGAUUAUGUGGUUUCCAGAAUUAUGCACUCUGAAUUUUUGAUUUUAUAUUCAUUUAAUCUUUCUUAAUUUAAUCAUUUGCAGUGAGGAAAAACAGCUCUCUGGUAAUUGUUUUAAAAUCAUGGCAAGCAUAGGCUCCACUGUAUAUACAAAAUUGUGUAUGUAUGUUUGAAUGGAAGAGUAAACAUUGCCAGGGUAGGGAAAGGAUGCAGGAGAAUUUUGAAACAGGUACUGUAAUACAGUAUAUUCUUCUUGGUUCUCCUGAUUAAACACAUCUGUAUUCUGUUACUCAUGGCUACAACUACAUGGAAUGCAUUAUAGAAAUAGAAUCACAUGCUCAUCCUGCCACAAGUACAAGAACAUUUACAGUUUGUGUUGAAGAGAAGAAAUACAUGGAACUAGGAAGACAUCUCUGACUAUGGUUACUUGGAUUUCUUCUGAAUACCUUAUAAGAGGGGGAUGUUUCCCAGCUCUGUGCCAGGUAUUUAAGACCUGGAGUAAGGACAAAAUAAAGAGACUGAAUCUUGGUUUCCCCUGCACUAAAAAUAUUCUGUUUCAGCUUCCCAGCCCAGAGUACAGGGAAGAAGCCAAAAUUUCCACUAUAACUUCUAAACUGGUAGCAAAACUAAUAAUCUCCUGUGGGGUGUGGGAGGACGAGGAUCUUCAUUGCUCCUUCCUACAUGCUCCUUCAUGAAUAUAAUCACUGGCCCUAUGGAUUUGCUGGAUAAGACAACCAAAAAUAAGCUCAUUACAGACAUAAACUUAGCAAUUUUAUGGAAAAGGGCAAAAAACAUGAGUUCAUAUACACCCAGAAAGCCAAUGGCUUUUAAACACAUGAAAAUAAACUAGAUUUCUCCAUUAAAGCAAAUAAGACAAAACCACACAGAGUUACCAUUUUCAUGUGGCAGGUCAAGUAAAACCCAGAUGUUUUAUGGUUCAUUGGAUAGAUGAGGGUGAAGGCACUAUUGUUGUUGGGAAUCAAAACCGGUAAAAUUCUUUGGAAGUCUGCUUGGAAAUAUCUACCAAAUGUGAUAUGAUUUUAGGAAAAUUAGUACUGCACAAAUAUCUCUAGGACAUUUCAUACAGAUAUAAUCACCUUAAUGUAUAAAAUCAUAUGUAUGAUGAUACAGAUCUUCUUUGAUUUACCUCCCACUAAACCCAUCAUAAAAUAAAAAUAUUAUAGAUUGAAAAUGUUUUUAAUACACUUAAACUACUGAACAUCAUAGCUUAACCUAGCCUAACUUAAUUGUGCUCAGAACAUUUACAUUAGCCUGCAGUUGUGCAAAAUCAUCUAACACAAAGACUAUUUUAUAAUAAACUGUUGAAUAUCUCAUGUAGUUUAGUGAAUACUAUACUGAAGGUGAAAAAUAAUGGUUGUAUAGGUAUAGAAUGGUUCUGAGUGUAUCACAUGUUUACCCUCAUGAUCUGGCUGACUGGGAUGGUGGCUUGAUGUCACUGCACAGCAUCACAAGAGAGAAUCCUACUACAUAUUGCUAACCUGGGAAAAGAUCAAAAUUCAAAAUUUAAAGUAUAGUUUUAUAAAUGUAUAUUGUGUUAGCACCAUAGUAAAACUGAAUAAUUGUAAGUUGAGAACUAUCUGUAUUCAUUACAAAAACUUACAAAACAAACUGAAUUCUAUUUGUAAGAAUAAAAGAAUGUAGACAAUCUAAACAUCUGACAACAGUAGAAUGCUUAAAUAAAUUCUUUUACAUAGAAUAUCAAGCAGACAGUAAAAAAGAGGAAGUUUCUGGUAUGAACCAAUUUCCAAGAUACUUUGUUAAAUGAAAUAAAGUAGAUACACAAGAGUACAGAUAUUCUGCCACCUCCCACCAUUCAUCCUAGCCUUUCUCUCCUCCAGGUUGGCCAAGCUCAUUUGGAGGCUCAAGGCCUUUGUACUUGCUAACACUUAGUCUGUAAUGUCUUACUGAUUUUCACAUAGAUAGAUUAGAGACAAGUUGGCAGAGUAGAAGAACUCAAGCUCACCUCCUAUCACAAAAUACGCCAAAAUUACAACUAACUGCUGAACAGCCGUCAGCAAAAUAGAUUGGAAGCUAUCAAAAAAAGAUAUCCUACACCCAAAGACAACCCUAGAUGGCAGGAGGAGCACUUUGGCAAUAUAAGCAAUCCCAUAUCUGUCAGGAGGGCAGCCCAUAGCCUGAAAAAUAACUAUAUAUUGUAGGGCUCUCCAACAAGACUGAGGAUUCUGAGCCCUGCAUAAGGUUUCCAAGUCUGGGAAUCUGCCACUGGGAGGAGGAACUCCUGGAGCAUUUGGCAUUGAAGGCCAGUGGGGCUUGAGUGCAGGAAUUCACAGUACUGGGGGAAACAGAAAUGCCACUCUUAGAAUUGUGCAUACAGGGUUUCACAUGCACCAAACAGGCUGCCUAAAGUCCUUAUAGGCACAGAAUCACCUCUAAUCAUACCCAGAGACAAAGCCCUACCCACCAGAGCGCUACCUACCAGUGGGCAGGCACCAGUCCUUCACAUCAGGAAGCCUGCCACAAGCCCUUGUAUCAGCUUUGCCCACAAGAGGGCAGGUGUCAGAAGCAAGAGAGGCUAUAACCCUAU
RNAcentral lists this long non-coding RNA (3427 nucleotides) under Sus scrofa (pig). RNAcentral's name for it is "lncRNA (ENSSSCG00060009180.1)". The record is from RNAcentral. Lineage: Eukaryota; Metazoa; Chordata; Mammalia; Artiodactyla; Suidae.